Non-coding RNA from Echinostoma caproni, 45 nucleotides. Lineage: Eukaryota; Metazoa; Platyhelminthes; Trematoda; Plagiorchiida; Echinostomatidae. The record is from Rfam.
GCACUUCUGACGAGUCCAAAACCGGACAAAACAGCUGUCCAGUGC